UCAAUUGCCGGCGACCGGCGCACGGGUGAGUAACGCGUAUCCAACCUUCCGUACACUCAGGGAUAGCCUUUCGAAAGAAAGAUUAAUACCUGAUGGUAUGAUGAGAUUGCAUGAUAGCAUCAUUAAAGAUUUAUCGGUGUACGAUGGGGAUGCGUUCCAUUAGGUAGUAGGCGGGGUAACGGCCCACCUAGCCAACGAUGGAUAGGGGUUCUGAGAGGAAGGUCCCCCACAUUGGAACUGAGACACGGUCCAAACUCCUACGGGAGGCAGCAGUGAGGAAUAUUGGUCAAUGGACGAGAGUCUGAACCAGCCAAGUAGCGUGAAGGAUGAAGGUCCUACGGAUUGUAAACUUCUUUUAUAAGGGAAUAAACCCUCCCACGUGUGGGAGCUUGUAUGUACCUUAUGAAUAAGCAUCGGCUAACUCCGUGCCAGCAGCCGCGGUAAUACGGAGGAUGCGAGCGUUAUCCGGAUUUAUUGGGUUUAAAGGGAGCGCAGACGGGUCGUUAAGUCAGCUGUGAAAGUUUGGGGCUCAACCUUAAAAUUGCAGUUGGUACUGGCGUCCUUGAGUGCGGUUGAGGUGUGCGGAAUUCGUGGUGUAGCGGUGAAAUGCUUAGAUAUCACGAAGAACUCCGAUUGCG
RNAcentral lists this ribosomal RNA (638 nucleotides) under uncultured bacterium. RNAcentral's name for it is "bacterial SSU rRNA". It matches the Rfam family "Bacterial small subunit ribosomal RNA", at positions 80 to 717 of the family's 1533-position model. The record is from RNAcentral.